Molecule: ribosomal RNA, 328 nt
Filed under: uncultured bacterium
Lineage: Bacteria
Description: bacterial SSU rRNA
Rfam family: Bacterial small subunit ribosomal RNA
Source: RNAcentral
AACGAACGCUGGCGGCAUGCCUAACACAUGCAAGUCGAACGAGACCUUCGGGUCUAGUGGCGCACGGGUGCGUAACGCGUGGGAACCUGCCUUUAGGUUCGGAAUAACUCAGAGAAAUUUGAGCUAAUACCGGGAUAAUGUCUUCGGACCAAAGAUUUAUCGCCUUUAGAUGGGCCCGCGUUGGAUUAGCUAGUUGGUGGGGUAAAGGCCUACCAAGGCGACGAUCCAUAGCUGGUCUGAGAGGAUGAUCAGCCACACUGGGACUGAGACACGGCCCAGACUCCUACGGGAGGCAGCAGUGGGGAAUAUUCGGACAAUGGGCGGAAAG